GGGGAUCGUAAGACCUUGCGCUAAAGGAGCGGCCGAUGUCUGAUUAGCUAGUUGGUGGGGUAAAGGCUUACCAAGGCAACGAUCAGUAGUUGGUCUGAGAGGACGRCCAACCACACUGGGACUGAGACACGGCCCAGACUCCUACGGGAGGCAGCAGUGGGGAAUUUUGGACAAUGGGCGAAAGCCUGAUCCAGCCAUGCCGCGUGAGUGAAGAAGGCCUUCGGGUUGUAAAGCUCUUUUAGUCGGAAAGAAAGRRUUGCAAYGAAUAAUUGUGAUUUAUGACGGUACCGACAGAAAAAGCACCGGCUAACUACGUGCCAGCAGCCGCGGUAAUACGUAGGGUGCGAGCGUUAAUCGGAAUUACUGGGCGUAAAGGGUGCGCAGGCGGUUUUGCAAGUCAGAUGUGAAAGCCCCGGGCUUAACCUGGGAAUUGCGUUUGAAA
RNAcentral lists this ribosomal RNA (442 nucleotides) under uncultured bacterium. RNAcentral's name for it is "bacterial SSU rRNA". It matches the Rfam family "Bacterial small subunit ribosomal RNA", at positions 199 to 632 of the family's 1533-position model. The record is from RNAcentral.